CCAAUAGCGUAUAUUAAAGUUGUUGCAGUUAAAAAGCUCGUAGUUGAAUUUCGGGAUUCGUCCAUUGGUCAGGCUUAACUGUCUGUACUGGUGUGUCGGAUUUCUACCUUCUGAAGAACCUUCAUGCCAUUAAUUUGGUGUGUUGGGGAAUCAGGACUGUUACUUUGAAAAAAUUAGAGUGUUUAAAGCAGGCUAACGUCUGAAUACAUUAGCAUGGAAUAAUGAAAUAGGACGGUACGGUUCUAUUUUGUUGGUUUCUAGGAUCGCCGUAAUGAUUAAUAGGGAUAGUUGGGGGCAUUAGUAUUCAAUUGUCAGAGGUGAAAUUCUUGGAUUUAUUGAAGACUAACUACUGCGAAAGCAUUUGCCAAGGAUGUUUUCAUUAAUCAAGAACGAAAGUUAGGGGAUCGAAGACGAUCAGAUACCGUCGUAGUCUUAACCAUAAACUAUGCCGACUAGGGAUUGGACGAUGUUAAUUUUUUAAUGACUCGUUCAGCACCUUAUG
Molecule: ribosomal RNA, 502 nt
Filed under: uncultured Glomeromycotina
Lineage: Eukaryota; Fungi; Glomeromycota
Description: partial small subunit ribosomal RNA
Rfam family: Eukaryotic small subunit ribosomal RNA
Source: RNAcentral